This is a long non-coding RNA of Armigeres subalbatus, 1364 nucleotides long. RefSeq lists it as uncharacterized. The record is from RefSeq and is a predicted model, not a curated record. The transcript is spliced from 2 exons. Lineage: Eukaryota; Metazoa; Arthropoda; Insecta; Diptera; Culicidae.
AAUGAUCCGCCGGGCUAAUAUUUUUUUUUUAAUAUUUUCUCGCCUCGAAUAUGUUUUCUUCAGUGUGGCAUGAUUGUUUAAUGAAAAAAAAAAUAAAGUAAUUAUCCCAAUCGCCUUUGGAAAUCGGAAUUCAGUGGUAAGGUAAGAAAAUUUAAAAACAGUUCGCACCUAAAACGACUUUUAUUUUUCAGGUUCGAGCCAACAUCUUUUCAUUCUCGGAUGCGCCCUAUACUCAUCAAAUCGACGUGUACUUGGUCCGCCCACCAAGCUCGCCGUGUUGCUUCUGGAUUCUGCGUUUGUCGUAGAGUUGGACAAGCUCGUGGUUCAUCUUUCGUCGCCACAUAUCGUUCUCUUGCACACCGCCAAAGAGGGUACUAAGCACGUAUAUCAGCGACGAGAGCUAAACAUUGCCGCCUACAAGGUACUCUCCCAAAUUCUAUGCCGUCGAUUAACACCUAUUGCAAGAGAGUUCGUGGGGCCACGAUGGACAAGACCCAGGAGUGAUUAUGGGCGAACCAGAACAGGUGUUCACCGUACUCCAGAUAUCGCAGAAAUGCCUUGAAUAAAAUGUACCCACGCAUCAUCUAUUCAUCGACAACGCUUUGGAGGGAGUCAUACGAAGACCAGGCAUUGACACGAGUGGUUCGAUUUUCCCGAAGCCCAUUCAGUUAUUUGGUUUCGCCGGCGACAAUGAUGUUAUGGCACGUAACUUUGAGAAGCCUACAUCAGACAUGACAGGACGAGGUUCAAGAGAAGACAACUAGCCACUCACCACGAGAUUAUUCUGGUGCGACGAAAUUGAGACGGUCGUAGAAUUCGUGUACUUGGGCUCACUGGUGACUGCCGAAAAUGAUACCAGCAGGGAAAUUCGGAGACGCAUCGUGGCUGGAAACUAUACAUACUUUGGACUCCGCAAGACGCUCUGAUCGAGUAGAGUUUGCCGCCGUACCGAACUUGUUUUUACUAUCUACAAACCCCUUAUUAAACCGAUAGUCCUCACGAGACCUGGACGAUGCUCCAACGCGCACUUGGAGUUUUUGAAAAGAAAGUGUUGCGUACCAUCUACGGUGGGGUGCAGAUGGCGGACGGUACGUGGAGAAGGCGAAUGAACUACGAGUUACAUCAGCUGUCAGACACGUAGCCAGAAUGGAGGAUAGUAAUCCGGUGAAAAUAAUUCUCGACAACGAUCCGACAGGCACAAGAAGGCGAGGUGCGCAGCGAGCAAGGUGGAUCGAUCAGAUGGAGGACGAUGUAGACUGCGUGGUUGGGGACGGGCAGCCAUGGAUCGAGUGGAGAAGACUUUUAUGAACUACUUGUAUUCUAAGAAAAUAAAUAAAUCUGCGACGAGAGAUCGUUUGUGCUGG